AACGAACGCUGGCGGCAUGCCUAACACAUGCAAGUCGAACGAGACCUUCGGGUCUAGUGGCGCACGGGUGCGUAACGCGUGGGAAUCUGCCCUUGGGUUCGGAAUAACAGUUGGAAACGACUGCUAAUACCGGAUGAUGACGUAAGUCCAAAGAUUUAUCGCCCAAGGAUGAGCCCGCGUAGGAUUAGCUAGUUGGUGAGGUAAAGGCUCACCAAGGCGACGUUCCUUAGCUGGUCUGAGAGGAUGAUCAGCCACACUGGGACUGAGACACGGCCCAGACUCCUACGGGAGGCAGCAGUGGGGAAUAUUGGACAAUGGGCGAAAGCCUGAUCCAGCAAUGCCGCGUGAGUGAUGAAGGCCUUAGGGUUGUAAAGCUCUUUUACCCGGGAUGAUAAUGACAGUACCGGGAGAAUAAGCUCCGGCUAACUCCGUG
RNAcentral lists this ribosomal RNA (433 nucleotides) under uncultured bacterium. Its description in RNAcentral is "partial 16S ribosomal RNA". It matches the Rfam family "Bacterial small subunit ribosomal RNA", at positions 29 to 507 of the family's 1533-position model. The record is from RNAcentral.